This 253-nucleotide ribosomal RNA is filed under the name uncultured bacterium. RNAcentral's name for it is "partial 16S ribosomal RNA". It matches the Rfam family "Bacterial small subunit ribosomal RNA", at positions 524 to 776 of the family's 1533-position model. The record is from RNAcentral.
UACGUAGGGUGCGAGCGUUGCUCGGAAUUACUGGGCGUAAAGCGCACGUAGGCGGCUUUCUAAGUCGGGGGUGAAAUCCUGGAGCUCAACUCCAGAACUGCCUUCGAUACUGGAAAGCUCGAGUCCGGGAGAGGUGAGUGGAACUGCGAGUGUAGAGGUGAAAUUCGUAGAUAUUCGCAAGAACACCAGUGGCGAAGGCGGCUCACUGGCCCGGUACUGACGCUGAGGUGCGAAAGCGUGGGGAGCAAACAGG